CAGCAGCCCGGGAAUACGUAGGUGGCAAGCGUCGUCCGGAAUUAUUGGGCGUAAAGGGCUCGCAGGCGGUUUCUUAAGUCUGGUGAAAGCCCCCGGCUCAACCGGGGAGGGUCAUUGGAAACUGGGAAACUUGAGUGCAGAAGAGGAGAGUGGAAUUCCACGUGUAGCGGUGAAAUGCGUAGAGAUGUGGAGGAACGCCAGUGGCGAAGGCGACUCUCUGGUCUGUAACUGACGCUGAGGAGCGAAAGCGUGGGGAGCGAACAGGAUUAGAUACCCCUGUAGUCCCUGUCUCUUAUACACA
This 301-nucleotide ribosomal RNA is filed under the name uncultured bacterium. RNAcentral's name for it is "partial 16S ribosomal RNA". It matches the Rfam family "Bacterial small subunit ribosomal RNA", at positions 509 to 810 of the family's 1533-position model. The record is from RNAcentral.